Long non-coding RNA from Chelonia mydas (Green sea turtle), 409 nucleotides. RefSeq lists it as uncharacterized. The record is from RefSeq and is a predicted model, not a curated record. The transcript is spliced from 3 exons. Lineage: Eukaryota; Metazoa; Chordata; Testudines; Cheloniidae.
CCAGCCCCGGUUCCCGGCCCCGGCCAGGCCUCCGGCCCGGGCCUCUUUCCUCCCAGCCCCGCUCGCGGCUUCGGCGCCUGCCUGGCCUGGCCUGGCCUCGCCGCCUUUUGCGCAUCUGCCGGGAGCCAGGCGCUUUCUCCUGCCCUGUCCCCGCCUCGCACCCAGAGCCCGCCGCUCCCAGCCCGGCCGCGAACCCGCAGGGGGUGGGGGUGUCCCCCAAGGAGCAGAAGGGGUGUGUGGGUGUGGGUGUGUGUGUGUGCGCGGGCGGGGGGGGUGUCGUGUCCCCCAAGGAGCAGAAGGGGUGUGUGUGGGGGGGGGGUGUCGUGUCCCCCAAGGAGCAGAAGGGGUGUGUGUGUGUGCGCGGGCGGGGGGGGUGUCGUGUCCCCCAAGGAGCAGAAGGGGUGGGCGG